CCUACGGGGGGCAGCAGUGAGGAAUAUUGGUCAAUGGGCGCAAGCCUGAACCAGCCAAGUCGCGUGAGGGAUGACGUUCCUAUGGAUUGUAAACCUCUUUUGUCGGGGAGCAAGGCCCGCCACGUGUGGCGGGAAGGAGAGUACCCGGAGAAAAAGCAUCGGCUAACUCCGUGCCAGCAGCCGCGGUAAUACGGAGGAUGCGAGCGUUAUCCGGAUUUAUUGGGUUUAAAGGGUGCGCAGGCGGAAGAUCAAGUCAGCGGUAAAAUUGAGAGGCUCAACCUCUUCGAGCCGUUGAAACUGGUUUU
Molecule: ribosomal RNA, 305 nt
Filed under: uncultured bacterium
Lineage: Bacteria
Description: bacterial SSU rRNA
Rfam family: Bacterial small subunit ribosomal RNA
Source: RNAcentral